AACGAACGCUGGCGGCAUGCCUAACACAUGCAAGUCGAACGAUGCUUUCGGGCAUAGUGGCGCACGGGUGCGUAACGCGUGGGAAUCUGCCCUUGGGUUCAGAAUAACCGUUGGAAACGACGGCUAAUACCGGAUGAUGUCGAUAAGACCAAAGAUUUAUCGCCUGAGGAUGAGCCCGCGUAGGAUUAGCUAGUUGGUGUGGUAAGAGCGCACCAGGGCGACGAUCCUUAGCUGGUCGGAGAGGAUGAUCAGCCACACUGGGACUGAGACACGGCCCAGACUCCUACGGGAGGCAGCAGUGGGGAAUAUUGGACAAUGGGCGCAAGCCUGAUCCAGCAAUGCCGCGUGAGUGAUGAAGGCCUUAGGGUUGUAAAGCUCUUUUACCCGGGAUGAUAAUGACAGUACCGGGAGAAUAAGCUCCGGCUAACUCCGUGCCAGCAGCCGCCGUAA
This 450-nucleotide ribosomal RNA is filed under the name uncultured bacterium. RNAcentral's name for it is "partial 16S ribosomal RNA". It matches the Rfam family "Bacterial small subunit ribosomal RNA", at positions 29 to 523 of the family's 1533-position model. The record is from RNAcentral.